This 257-nucleotide unclassified non-coding RNA is filed under the name rhizosphere metagenome. RNAcentral's name for it is "partial ribosomal RNA internal transcribed spacer region". The record is from RNAcentral.
GUAGGUGAACCUGCGGAAGGAUCAUUACUGAACUGUCGACACGAGUUGUUGCUGGUCCUCAAAUGGGGGCAUGUGCACGCUCUGUUUACACAUCCACUCACACCUGUGCACCCUUAUGUAGUUCUAUGGUUUGGGGGACUCUGUCCUCCUGCCGUGGUUCUAUAUCUUUACACACACUCUGUAAUAAAGUUUUAUGGAAUGUAUACCGCGUUUAACGCAAUACAAUACAACUUUCAGCAACGGAUCUCUUGGCUCUC